GCGCCGGUAGCUCAAUUGGAUAGAGCGCUAGACUACGGAUCUGGAGGUUAGGGGUUCGACUCCUCUCCGGCGUGCCA
This 77-nucleotide transfer RNA is filed under the name Planctomycetaceae bacterium. RNAcentral's name for it is "tRNA-Arg". It matches the Rfam family "tRNA". Rfam says of the family: Transfer RNA (tRNA) molecules are approximately 80 nucleotides in length. Their secondary structure includes four short double-helical elements and three loops (D, anti-codon, and T loops). RNAcentral also lists the same sequence under 1 other name. Lineage: Bacteria; Pseudomonadati; Planctomycetota; Planctomycetia; Planctomycetales; Planctomycetaceae. The record is from RNAcentral.